RNAcentral lists this long non-coding RNA (2410 nucleotides) under Sus scrofa (pig). RNAcentral's name for it is "lncRNA (ENSSSCG00005042043.1)". The record is from RNAcentral. Lineage: Eukaryota; Metazoa; Chordata; Mammalia; Artiodactyla; Suidae.
UUUUUUUUUUUUUUUUUUGUCUCUUUUUGCUAUUUCUUGGGCUGCUCCCAUGGCAUAUGGAGGUUCCCAGGCUAGGGGUCGAAUCUGUAGCGUAGCCACAGGCCUACGCCAGAGCCACAGCAACGCGGGAUCCGAGCCGCGCCUCCAACCUACACCACAGCUCACCGCAACUCCGAAUCGUUAACCCACUGAGCAAGGGCAUGGUUCCUAGUCGGAUUCGUUAACCAUUGCGCCAAGACGGGAACUCCAGAAUUCUUGUUCUGUAGAAGCAUUUUCCUACACCAAUGCAAUGGCCAAUACCUGAAGUCCCUCGAGCCCCCUAGUUAUUUUUUUAUUCCAUUUCCUUCCCACUGCCAGUCACCAUCUAAGAGAUCUUUCAGCAGUACUUACAAUGUCGUUCUAAUCCAUGUAACUUCCCCAGAAAUAUACUGUAGAUUGAGAGACUUAAGGAAGUAAAAUAUGAACAAUUCUGGGCCAGGACUUUACAAUAGUCAUCAGUGGUUUUCAUGUUGUGGAAUGACUACAUGGCUUAAAUUGCCAGGACACUCAACCCAAGGUGUAAAACCCUUAUCAACAAUUCAAGGACUCUAAUGUGAUUGUUAGUAGAAGAUAAUGAGCAAAGAAAAACACCCUUGGCAAAAUAAAUUAAAACCUCCAAGGACUGAUCCUAGCUUGUGAUUUUGCCUGAGGCCAGUUUUGUUUUAAUGCUACUCUAGAUGUAUUAGGAAAUAGGUCCUUGUUUUAUCCCUUACUAUGGGAAUAAUUAUUAAUGGAAAGGCAAAUAUUAAAUAAACAAUGCAGUUAACCUGUGAAUGUUUUCCUGGAGUGAUUUCUGUUAUUUUUCUAGGCAAUGUAAACCAGUGAGAAUAAAAGACAAACCUGAAAGCAGAAGAGUGUCUUCUAUUUUUGUGUUCAUUUAUACUUCUAUUUUAUCUCUAGUUUUUUUGUUUUGUUUUGUUUUUUUGGUCAUUGGGAAUUUAAGUUAAUCUUCAAUUCUGAAAUGUAAAUUAAGAAGAUUAGAUUAGAUGUUCUCUUAUUUCACAACUCCCUUUCCUGACUUUUUUGUCUGAUAUUCUAUUUUUACUUACAUGACAAAGAAAAAGGUAAUGGCAUGACAAAAUGUAGAGGUGCUUAUAGAGAACAGUAUAUUUAAAUGUGUACAUUUAAGAGCAUAUUCUUUCUACAAAUAUGUAAAUCAAUGUCUCUUUAAGUGUUCUCAGUUAAAAACAUUUCAAUUCCACCUCUCCUCAACCCUAAACCUAACAGAGAACUAUAAUCCUGUAUUCCUCUAACCCUGUAAAAUAAAAUAUUCAAAGUUCAUUAGGUUAUAAAAGAACAGAGAAUGUUACACUUAUAUGGAUCUAAUCUGCCCCUGCAAGUGGAUUUAGAAAUAUUCCUUCUAUUUCUAGUUCUUUUACAAAAUUUGAUGAGAAUAUGAAUCCUGCUGUUUGGAAAGGUACACAUACCUACAGAAUAAACAAUGUGGCAUGUGACUUCAUGGGGUGAGAGGGAUCCAUGCCCCAUGGUAAUGAGAAGAUAGGCAAUUUUGAAUUCAUAUUUAGCAUUUGUUAUUUCUAAUUAUUAUGAUUUUUUUUUUAAUGGCUGCAUGCAUGGGAUAUGGAUAUUCCAGGCCAGGGAUUGAUCCUGAGCCAUAGCUGUGACCUAUGCCAUAGGCUAUAGUACUGCUGGAUCCUUUAACCCAUUGCAUGGGGCCAGGGAUCAUACCUGCACCUCUGCAUCAACCCAAGCCACUGCAGUUGGAUUCUUAACCCAUGGUGCUACAGAGGGAACUCCUAGUCAUUCAUUGUUUAAUACAACCUCAAAUGUCUAUUGUUAAUAGAAUUUCUUCUUAGUUUGGCUAAUUAAUUUCUAACUUUCAGAUAACAAAAUCACAUACCAACAUACCAGGGAAAUAGAGGUUAAUAAUUAUGCUAUCCUAUAAAGCAAUAAAGAAUACUCUUUGAAAAAUAAUUGAUUCAAUUAUAUAUCAGCAAGAAAUUAAAAAUAAUUAAUUUGCAUUAGUGAAGUUAUUUAUGAUAUGUGUAUCUAUUUAUCAUAUUAAGAAAUGUUUCCUGUUGCUCUAUUCCUUCAAGUUGAAGCAACUAAAAGUCAUCACAUAAUUAAACCUCCUUUAUUUCUUCUGAAAAUGUUUUUACACACUAAAUUUCAACUAAAUAAUUGAAAAUAAUUUUUCAUACAUUGUUAAGAAAUAUUUAGUUAUAACACCCAAGGAUUUUUUUUGGAAAUAGCAACUAUUAGUAUGCUAAUCAGUUGAGAUUUAAAUUAAUUGUAGAACUUUGGAAAAUGCCAAGUUUCCUGUAUUUAUAGAUAUGUUGGGGAAAAUAAUUUUACACUUCAAGUUAUGUAUUAUGCAUACUGGUGAGAAUGAGGACUUCUGGUUACUAUGGAA